Molecule: non-coding RNA, 143 nt
Filed under: human gut metagenome
Description: glmS glucosamine-6-phosphate activated ribozyme
Rfam family: glmS glucosamine-6-phosphate activated ribozyme aptamer
About the family: This entry contains a glucosamine-6-phosphate activated ribozyme that is found in the mRNA for GlmS. GlmS is an enzyme that uses fructose-6-phosphate and glutamine to generate glucosamine-6-phosphate.
Source: RNAcentral
AAAGAAAAGCGCCAGGACAAUAUAAUAUAUUGUUGACGAGGAUUAGAACUUAUCGAAAUAUUCGGCGGAUGGUUCUAUGGCAUAAGGUUGUCAUUAAAUAUUAUACAAAUACUAAUAGCAAUAUUAGAACAAAAGUGAUAUUA